This 66-nucleotide transfer RNA is filed under the name Heterocephalus glaber (naked mole-rat). It matches the Rfam family "tRNA". Rfam says of the family: Transfer RNA (tRNA) molecules are approximately 80 nucleotides in length. Their secondary structure includes four short double-helical elements and three loops (D, anti-codon, and T loops). Lineage: Eukaryota; Metazoa; Chordata; Mammalia; Rodentia; Bathyergidae. The record is from Rfam by way of RNAcentral.
GAGGAUGUAGCUCAAUGGUACAGCACUUCCCUAAAAAGGUCCUGGGUUCAAUCCCCAGUAUCAUUA